UACAGGGGGGGCAAGCGUUGUUCGGAAUUACUGGGCGUAAAGGGUUCGUAGGUGGCCACUUAAGUCAGACGUGAAAUCCCUCAACUUAACUGGGGAACUGCGUCUGAUACUGGAUGGCUUGAGUGCAGGAGAGGAAUGCGGAAUUCCAGGUGUAGCGGUGAAAUGCGUAGAUAUCUGGAGGAACACCGGUGGCGAAGGCGGCAUUCUGGACUGUAACUGACACUGAGGAACGAAAGCCAGGGGAGCAAACGGG
This 253-nucleotide ribosomal RNA is filed under the name uncultured bacterium. RNAcentral describes it as "partial 16S ribosomal RNA". It matches the Rfam family "Bacterial small subunit ribosomal RNA", at positions 524 to 776 of the family's 1533-position model. The record is from RNAcentral.